GACGAACGCUGGCGGCGUGCUUAACACAUGCAAGUCGAACGGAAAGGCCCUGCUUGCCGGGUACUCGAGUGGCGAACGGGUGAGUAACACGUGGGUGAUCUGCCCUGCACUUCGGGAUAAGCCUGGGAAACUGGGUCUAAUACCGGAUAGGAGCCAUUUUUAGUGUGAUGGUUGGAAAGUUUUUUCGGUGUAGGAUGAGCUCGCGGCCUAUCAGCUUGUUGGUGGGGUAAUGGCCUACCAAGGCGGCGACGGGUAGCCGGCCUGAGAGGGUGGACGGCCACAUUGGGACUGAGAUACGGCCCAGACUCCUACGGGAGGCAGCAGUGGGGAAUAUUGCACAAGGGGCGCAAGCCUGAUGCAGCGACGCCGCGUGGGGGAUGACGGCCUUCGGGUUGUAAACUCCUUUCGCUAGGGACGAAGCUUUUUGUGACGGUACCUAGAUAAGAAGCACCGGCUAACUACGUG
Molecule: ribosomal RNA, 465 nt
Filed under: uncultured bacterium
Lineage: Bacteria
Description: partial 16S ribosomal RNA
Rfam family: Bacterial small subunit ribosomal RNA
Source: RNAcentral